Molecule: transfer RNA, 64 nt
Filed under: Cucujoidea sp. 1 KM-2017
Lineage: Eukaryota; Metazoa; Arthropoda; Insecta; Coleoptera
Description: tRNA-Ile
Source: RNAcentral
AUUUUAGUGCCUGAAUAAAAGGAUCUUCUUGAUGAAAAGAAAAAUGUGCCCUCCACCUCUAUUU